This 277-nucleotide long non-coding RNA is filed under the name Phoenix dactylifera (date palm). RNAcentral describes it as "long non-coding RNA (PDAC_LNC014515)". Lineage: Eukaryota; Viridiplantae; Streptophyta; Magnoliopsida; Arecales; Arecaceae. The record is from RNAcentral.
UGUCUGUUACGGCGGUCAAGGAUGGCACCAAUGCAGAGGAUGGAGUGGGAGCAGGAGUGGGUGCAGGAGUGGGAGCUGGCACGGAACCUCGGAGCUCCCGGAGCAGCUCGUCUCUCAAAUCUCGGACGAUCUCCUGCCGCAGCUCCCGGAGCUGCUCUGGAUCAAUACGGACCUCCAUAGGUGGUGGAGCUGAGGAGGAAGGUCCGGCAGAGGUAGUAGGAGCAGGAGGAGUGGAUGGAAGGUCUGGAUGGUCUGGGGAGUCUGGGUAGUCAAAAUC